This 835-nucleotide ribosomal RNA is filed under the name endosymbiont 'C3 40' of Calyptogena sp. JS2002. Its description in RNAcentral is "bacterial SSU rRNA". It matches the Rfam family "Bacterial small subunit ribosomal RNA", at positions 46 to 863 of the family's 1533-position model. The record is from RNAcentral.
GCUUACACAUGCAAGUCGAACGGAAACGAUACUAGCUUGCUAGUAGGCGUCGAGUGGCGGCCGGGUGAGUAACGCGUAGGAAUCUGCUUGAUAGUNGGGGAUAGCCCGGAGAAAUCCGGAUUAAUACCGCAUAAUCUUGAUAAAGUAAAGAAGGCCUCUAGUUAUAUAUGCUUUCGCUAUCAAAUGAGCCUGCGUAAGAUUAGCUAGUUGGUGAGGUAAAAGCUCACCAAGGUGACGAUCUUUAGCUGGUCUGAGAGGAUGAUCAGCCACACUGGAACUGAGACACGGUCCAGACUCCUACGGGAGGCAGCAGUGGGAAUAUUGGACAAUGGGCGCAAGCCUGAUCCAGCAAUACCGCGUGUGUGAAGAAGGCCUGAGGGUUGUAAAGCACUUUCAAUUAGGAAGAAAAAAUAAUGGUUAAUAUCUAUUAUUUUUGACGUUACUUUUAGAAAAAGCUCUCCGGCUNACUCCGUGCCACCAACCCGCGGUAAUACGGAGGGUGCCAAGCGUUAAAUCGGAAUUCCCUGGGCGUAAAGCGUGCGUAGGUGGUUUAUUAAGUCAGAUGUGACAAGCCCUGGGCUCAACCUAGGAACUGCAUUUGAAACUGGAAAACUAGAGUAUAGGAGAGGAAAGUGGAAUUUUCUGGUGUAGCGGUGAAAUGCGUAGAUAUCAGAAGGAACAUCAAUGGCGAAGGCAGCUUUCUGGACUAAUACUGACACUGAGGUACGAAAGCGUGGGUAGCAAACAGGAUUAGAUACCCUGGUAGUCCAUGCCGUAAACGAUGAUAACUAGCCGUUGGGGGGGGUACCCUUUAGUGGCGAAGCUAACGCGUUAA